This 204-nucleotide ribosomal RNA is filed under the name uncultured Lactobacillus sp. Its description in RNAcentral is "partial 16S ribosomal RNA". It matches the Rfam family "Bacterial small subunit ribosomal RNA", at positions 159 to 355 of the family's 1533-position model. Lineage: Bacteria; Bacillati; Bacillota; Bacilli; Lactobacillales; Lactobacillaceae. The record is from RNAcentral.
GAUGCUAAUACCGGAUAACAACAGAUGACUGCCUAUCAACUGUUUAAAAGAUGGUUCUGCUAUCACUCUUGGAUGGACCUGCGGUGCAUUAGCUAGUUGGUAGGGUAACGGCCUACCAAGGCGAUGAUGCAUAGCCGAGUUGAGAGACUGAUCGGCCACAUUGGGACUGAGACACGGCCCAAACUCCUACGGGAGGCAGCAGCC